UGUACCUGAUAUAACAUCUAAAACCAAUUGGAAUCGUGCUGUUGAAAGUAGGGGCAAGUUAUUAUUAACACUGCGGUUUUUAGCCACCAAUAAUUUCCUAGUGUCUGCUGGGGACUUUAUUGGAAUCCAUAAAACAACCGCUGGAAGUCAUGUGUGGACGGUUCUACAAGCCUUGGCAAAUUUAAGAGCAUUGUAUAUCUGAAUGCCAUGUACUGCACAAGAAUUAGCAGAUACUAAACAAAAAUUUUAUGAAAUUGCAAGAUUUCCUAAUGUUAUUGGAGCUAUUGACUGUACGCAUGUCAAAAUUGAAUCUCCAGGUGGAAAGUUAUUCAGAAACAGAAAAAAUUUUUUUUCAAUGAAUGUUCAGGCUAUAUGUAAUGCAGAGUUAAAAUUUACUAAUGUUGUUGCAAGGUGGCCAGGUUCUGUGCAUGAUGCAAGAAUAUUUGCAAAUUCCAGCAUAAAAAAAAGUUUUGAAGAUGGAAUAUUUGCAAACAGUUUACUUCUUGGUGAUAGCGGAUAUCCUAUUUCUAAUUAUUGUGUAAUACAAAUACAUCAACCUACAACCUAAAAUCUCGGCAAUUUAGAGGCCUUCUUACCAUCGGAAAAUAUAUUUUGAACAGGGAAUGUUUUGUAAAAUCUAAUAAGACAUGUAAUUGUUUAGAUCCGUUAUUAUAGAUUUAGUGUCCAUUACUGUCUACAUUUUUGGUAGCUACAGGUUUUUCUCAUGCAUCAAGAUAAAAAUACUAUUAAAAAAAAUCUCGGCAAUUUAGAGGCCUUCUUACUAUCGGAAAAUAUAUUUUGAUCAGGGAAUGUUUUGUAAAAUCUAAUAAGACAUGUAAUUGUUUAGAUCCGUUACCAUAGAUUUAGUAUCCAUUACCGGUUACCGGUAACCAAGCGGUAACUACAGGGUGUCCAGUGGCAGAUUUCAAUGUUUGAGGGCUUGUAAAAAAAUAACUAUUAUUUCUAAACAAAAUAUUUUUAUUAAGGUCAAAAGAAGACGAGUGCGGAUUUUAUCUCCUGAAAAUUACAUUUUCCAAAUGCCGCCCUUCUACUCUCACACACUCCUCAAUCUAUUCCGCAUGUUGAGAAAAACUUGUUUGCAAAGGGAACUGGGAAUUCUGUUUGUUUCAGCCCGGAUAUUUUCCUUCAGUUGCCUUAUGGUUGUUGGAUUUGAUUGGUAAACCACAGUUUUUAGAUAGCCCUACUAGAAAAAGUCACAUAGACUUAGGUCUGGUGACCUGGGUGGCCACGGGAUGGUGCCGUUUCGGGAUAUGUGCUUUUCAGGAAAUAACUGCCGCACUGUAUUCAUUGACACAUUUGCAGUAUGAGCCGAAGCAAAUCUUGAAUAAUCUGAAUUUGGUAUGGAUGGAGCUUAAGCUUUUUUCGCAUAAUGACCUGUAAAAUCGAUUUAGGAAUUCCCAAUAUUUUGGUACUGGUUUUUCUCA
Molecule: long non-coding RNA, 1445 nt
Organism: Colias croceus (clouded yellow)
Lineage: Eukaryota; Metazoa; Arthropoda; Insecta; Lepidoptera; Pieridae
Exons: 3
Source: RefSeq, a predicted model, not a curated record